GACGAACGCUGGCGGCGUGCUUAACACAUGCAAGUCGAACGGAAAGGCCUGCUUUCCCUUGUGGAUUGCGGGUACUCGAGUGGCGAACGGGUGAGUAACACGUGAGUGAUCUGCCCCCAACUUGGGUAUAAGCCUGGGAAACUGGGUCUACUUCCCGAUAGCACUGCAGGGUGGUGCCUGUGGUGGAAAACGAUUUUCUAGUGGUUGGGGAUGAGCUCGCGGCCUAUCAGCUUGUGGGUGGGGUAAUGGCCUACCAAGGCGGCGACGGGUAGCCGGCCUGAGAGGGUGGACGGCCACAUUGGGACUGAGAUACGGCCCAGACUCCUACGGGAGGCAGCAGUGGGGAAUAGUGCACAAUGGGCGGAAGCCUGAUGCAGCGACGCCGCGUGGGGGAUGACGGCCUUCGGGUUGUAAACUCCUUUCGACCGCGAGGAAGCCACCUGGUUGGAAGGGUGGUGACGGUAGUGGUAGAAGAAGCACCGGCUAACUACGUG
RNAcentral lists this ribosomal RNA (494 nucleotides) under uncultured bacterium. RNAcentral's name for it is "partial 16S ribosomal RNA". It matches the Rfam family "Bacterial small subunit ribosomal RNA", at positions 28 to 507 of the family's 1533-position model. The record is from RNAcentral.